RNAcentral lists this transfer RNA (82 nucleotides) under Candidatus Magasanikbacteria bacterium CG_4_10_14_0_2_um_filter_37_12. Its description in RNAcentral is "tRNA-Leu". It matches the Rfam family "tRNA". From Rfam's summary of the family: Transfer RNA (tRNA) molecules are approximately 80 nucleotides in length. Their secondary structure includes four short double-helical elements and three loops (D, anti-codon, and T loops). Further hydrogen bonds mediate the characteristic L-shaped molecular structure. tRNAs have two regions of fundamental functional importance: the anti-codon, which is responsible for specific mRNA codon recognition, and the 3' end, to which the tRNAs corresponding amino acid is attached (by aminoacyl-tRNA synthetases). tRNAs cope with the degeneracy of the genetic code in two manners: having more than one tRNA (with a specific anti-codon) for a particular amino acid; and 'wobble' base-pairing, i.e. permitting non-standard base-pairing at the 3rd anti-codon position. The record is from RNAcentral. Lineage: Bacteria; Candidatus Magasanikiibacteriota.
GUCGGAAUGGUGGAAUUGGUAGACACGCAUGCUUCAGGUGCAUGUGCCUUCGGGUGUGGGAGUUCGAGUCUCCCUUCCGGCA